This 78-nucleotide transfer RNA is filed under the name Porphyromonas bennonis. It matches the Rfam family "tRNA". Rfam says of the family: Transfer RNA (tRNA) molecules are approximately 80 nucleotides in length. RNAcentral also lists the same sequence under 6 other names. Lineage: Bacteria; Pseudomonadati; Bacteroidota; Bacteroidia; Bacteroidales; Porphyromonadaceae. The record is from RNAcentral.
GGAUCCUUAGCUCAGUUGGUUUAGAGCGUCUGUCUUACAAACAGAGGGUCGUAGGUUCGAAUCCUACAGGGUCCACCA